UUUGAUUAAUAUCGGGCAGUAUUUUUACAUCGUAAAAAUAUAAAUCCGGUAUUAAAAUACCCGUUUUUCGGCAAAAACUUCCAAAAAUAAAUAAAAAAAAUUGAAAAAAGAUUAAAAAAAAAAUGUUUUUGUGCAUACGGCCAAGUGUCUCAAAUCUAAAAAAUCAUAUCGUAUUUUGCAUAUGUCAAAGAAAAAUAUAUAUUUUAGCAUGCAUUUUGGCUUUAAUAACCAGUUUAUUAAAGUCAAGAGAACAUUGGCCAAAAUCUCAAAAACAACAAAAUAUUUUAUUUUGUUUGAUCUUAGUAUCAGAGAUUAUGAAUUUAUACGUAAAUCGUAUUCCUGAUAUUAAAAAAAGAUAUUUUCUUUUGACGACUUCGAAUAGUUAGUUUUUUUACCCGAUAAAGAUAAGGAUCUCCUUACAGAGGAGGACUUUUCUUAAACCGUAAACGAACCAACAAUUCAAAAAAACCACAACAUGAUUUUAGAUUUUAUCAGACAUUAAAACAAUGCAGCCUACCUUAGGUAGGGCGUAGUUGGGGUGCUAAUACCUUCCCUUUACGCAACCAGUCUCCG
RNAcentral lists this long non-coding RNA (573 nucleotides) under Populus tremula. RNAcentral describes it as "long non-coding RNA (PTRE_LNC002583)". Lineage: Eukaryota; Viridiplantae; Streptophyta; Magnoliopsida; Malpighiales; Salicaceae. The record is from RNAcentral.